UCCUCGCUCAAAGAAUCGCAUUCAAAGCUCACACACAAAGAAGAUUCCUCUUCUUUUACGCAUUCGCUUUGGGAGAAAGUCCCCGGACAUCCUGCGCUCUUUUCAGAGUUCUUCAAGUCAGGCAAUGCGGAAACGCGCCGCCAUAGAAGCAAUUUGAUAGCGGCUUACGCCCUACUCCUACUGGCUCUUGUGCUCGCCGUCCGACAGUGUUACGCUGGUUACAAUGGGGCGUGCGGCCUGGGGUUGGAGGGGAGAAGGGGGGACUUCGGUCUUCCCUUGUAUCGGGUUGCCUUUCGUCGUGGUUCGAUAGUCAUGCGAUUGCCCCUUGUUCCUCGUGGAUGGGGGGUAACUCAAUGGGGCUCAUUCUUGAGGCGAGG
Molecule: RNase MRP RNA, 377 nt
Filed under: Penicillium brasilianum
Lineage: Eukaryota; Fungi; Ascomycota; Eurotiomycetes; Eurotiales; Aspergillaceae
Description: RNase MRP
Rfam family: RNase MRP
About the family: RNase MRP is an enzymatically active ribonucleoprotein with two distinct roles in eukaryotes. In mitochondria it plays a direct role in the initiation of mitochondrial DNA replication.
Source: Rfam by way of RNAcentral